CCAAGCGGCCUCAGACGCGGACGUAACUCCAUCAUCACCCUCAUGGCUUGGGAGAUCUGGAAACACAGGAAUGUGGCCAUCUCUGAUGGUGCCUGUCCUUCCACUGACGAGCUUAUGCAGCUGAUCAAAGAUGAGGCGCGCCGCUGGGCUAAGGCCGGCGAUAGAGGUCUAGAUAGGAUCAUCCCUGUAACUUGA
RNAcentral lists this ribosomal RNA (195 nucleotides) under Triticum aestivum (bread wheat). RNAcentral's name for it is "partial small subunit ribosomal RNA". Lineage: Eukaryota; Viridiplantae; Streptophyta; Magnoliopsida; Poales; Poaceae. The record is from RNAcentral.